AUUGAACGCUGGCGGCAUGCCUAACACAUGCAAGUCGAACGAGUGGCGGACGGGUGAGUAAUAUCUGGGAACCUGCCCGAUGGCGGGGGAUAACUACUGGAAACGGUAGCUAAUACCGCAUACCAUCGGAUGUUCCCAUAUGGGAUUAGCUAGUAGGUGGGGUAACGGCUCACCUAGGCGACGAUCCCUAGCUGGUCUGAGAGGAUGACCAGCCACACUGGAACUGAGACACGGCCCAGACUCCUACGGGAGGCAGCAGUGGGGAAUAUUGGACAAUGGGCGCAAGCCUGAUGCAGCCAUGCCGCGUGUAUGAAGAAGGCCUUCGGGUUGUAAAGUACUUUCAGCGGGGAGGCGUUACCCGCAGAAGAAGCACCGGCUAACUCCGUGCCAGCAGCCGCGGUAAUUC
RNAcentral lists this ribosomal RNA (406 nucleotides) under uncultured bacterium. RNAcentral's name for it is "partial 16S ribosomal RNA". It matches the Rfam family "Bacterial small subunit ribosomal RNA", at positions 30 to 526 of the family's 1533-position model. The record is from RNAcentral.